Molecule: ribosomal RNA, 422 nt
Filed under: Leptotrichia sp. oral taxon 212
Lineage: Bacteria; Fusobacteriati; Fusobacteriota; Fusobacteriia; Fusobacteriales; Leptotrichiaceae
Description: bacterial SSU rRNA
Rfam family: Bacterial small subunit ribosomal RNA
Source: RNAcentral
GAUGAACGCUGACAGAAUGCUUAACACAUGCAAGUCGAUGGGGAAGUGGUGCUUGCACCAUGGCAACCAUGGCGGACGGGUGAGUAACGCGUAAGGGACUUACCUGCAGGACUGGGAUAACAGGGGGAAACUCCUGACAAGACCGGAUAAUGUCAUGGAGCUGCAUGGCUUUAUGAUGAAAGGAGACGCCUGCGGAGAGCCUUGCGUCCUAUUAGCUAGUUGGUGAGGUAAUGGCUCACCAAGGCGAAGAUAGGUAGCCGGCCUGAGAGGGUGGACGGCCACAAGGGGACUGAGAUACGGCCCUUACUCCUACGGGAGGCAGCAGUGGGGAAUAUUGGACAAUGGGGGCAACCCUGAUCCAGCAAUUCUGUGUGCACGAAGAAGGUUUUCGGAUUGUAAAGUGCUUUCAGCAGGGAAGAAGG